AUAUAUCAUUACAUAAAAUGACUAGGUGUCUUUAUCUAGUGCAAAGGAUAAAGGGAAUGGACCCCACAUCUAUAAAUAAAUAUUAUGCACCUUUCCUUUUAAGUUAAAACAAUUCUUAAAGUGUAGGACUCAUAUUCCAUCUUCAGAAUGUUCCCUAGCGUGUUCAAAUGGAAAUAAAAAUAGGACAAAGUUUUGGGCAACAACAACGAGAAAGAAAUCACGAUUUGAAAACUAUUCACAUAUCGGUUUCGUAAUUCUAUCACGAUUUCCUCUGGAUCAUAGCAAAUUGGAGAUUUCUUUUUCUGAAUUGAAGUAAAGUAGAAGAAGAUUAUCUCUUGACAUAUAAGGCUAAAAGAGCGACGAGACGAACGGGUUACGAAGAGUCGCUAACAAGGUACAGAGGUUCGUGAUCCGUCAGAGUAAGCCACAUAUUCUGCUAUCACAGAGUGCUCCUUUGAUUCGGAGCCCAUAUGUUGGUACAUAUCUUUUAUGAUGUAUAUGUCUCCAUAUAUUUGACUAUUUGGGGUACGGCGGGGCCCUGUCCCGUCAUAUGAUUCCGUUAUGAUUUGUAGAGGCCUGUAGUCAUAUAUGUGGGUCAUUGGUCAGGUGUGUAUGUUCGUUUGUUUAUGAUCUGCGUCUUAAUGCGGUCCUGUUUGCUAUUAUGGCCAAAACGACCCAGUUGUCUGUGUACGUGUAUGUAUCUGGCGAUGUAUAUUCCGCCAACCUAUCAGAUUUGGAUACGGCCAAAAUGGCCUGUAUAUUUGUGUAUGUAUAUAUAUUCGGCGAUGUGUAUUCCGUCGCCUCUUUUGGUUCUGAUAUGAUAAUUUGUACGCGCA
Lycium barbarum (goji berry) is the source of this 836-nucleotide long non-coding RNA. RefSeq lists it as uncharacterized. NCBI's taxonomy places the organism in Eukaryota, Viridiplantae, Streptophyta, Magnoliopsida, Solanales, Solanaceae. The record is from RefSeq and is a predicted model, not a curated record. The transcript has 3 exons.